UACGGGAGGCAGCAGUGAGGAAUAUUGGUCAAUGGGUGCAAGCCUGAACCAGCCAUCCCGCGUGAAGGACGACUGCCCUAUGGGUUGUAAACUUCUUUUGUAUAGGGAUAAACCUACCCUCGUGAGGGUAGCUGAAGGUACUAUACGAAUAAGCACCGGCUAACUCCGUGCCAGCAGCCGCGGUAAUACGGAGGGUGCAAGCGUUAUCCGGAUUUAUUGGGUUUAAAAGGGUCCGUAGGCGGACUUAUAAGUCAGUGGUGAAAGCCUGUCGCUUAACGAUAGAACUGCCAUUGAUACUGUAAGUCUUGAGUAUAUUUUGAGGUAGCUGGAAUAAGUAGUGUAGCGGUGAAAUGCAUAGAUAUUACUUAGAACACCAAUUGCGAAGGCAGGUUACCAAGAUAUAAACUGACGCUGAGGGGACGAAAGCGUGGGGAGCGAACAGGGAUUAGAUACC
Molecule: ribosomal RNA, 454 nt
Filed under: uncultured bacterium
Lineage: Bacteria
Description: bacterial SSU rRNA
Rfam family: Bacterial small subunit ribosomal RNA
Source: RNAcentral